UCUCUUUUUCAUGAUUUGUACUUAUCUUGUUCUUCUCUUCCUCCAAGCAGCCAUGCCAUGACUCCAUGGUACCCUCUGCUAUGUAUCUCUUUCGGAUGAUGGUCACCUUCCGAAGACCUCCUCAGAUUCUGGUGUAUUGUUUUCUCUGGACUCUCCCCGCUCACCGUCCUCGAAUGCCUGUCCUCCUGCCCACCUGCUUAUCCUUAACACUGGUUGGAUUUCCAUUAUCAUCCUUCACCUGGACACUCACUGGAAGAACAUCCUUCUCUUGAGCUUCUUGCCUCCUCUCACAAUGCCUUCCCCCGAAACCACACACUCCAACUUUCCACGGGGGUUAUUUGUCCACAAGAUUUGGGACAUUUUACCAAUGACUGAGAGAGGACUUCUAGAAGAUUUCGAGGGUGAAGGCAAAAGUUGUCCCUGUGGUAACUGGAGUAUUUGGCUGCUAACUGUCUGAAGAUGAAGUAAUGGCAGACACCAGCAUAUAAAUCAGAAAUAUAAUGUCCUAUCAACCCCACAGCGAUGCCAAUAAGAAGUUAAGUGAGUUUCUGGCAAGAUUAACCUCUUGUGGGAAAACC
Long non-coding RNA from Oreochromis niloticus (Nile tilapia), 578 nucleotides. RefSeq lists it as uncharacterized. The transcript is spliced from 4 exons. NCBI's taxonomy places the organism in Eukaryota, Metazoa, Chordata, Actinopteri, Cichliformes, Cichlidae. The record is from RefSeq and is a predicted model, not a curated record.